UACCCAGCACCCCGAGGUGGUCGGGACGUUUUAUUGGGCCUAAAGCAUCCGUAGCCGGUUCUACAAGUCUUCCGUUAAAUCCAGCUGCUUAACAGAUGGGCUGCGGAAGAUACUAUGGAGCUAGGAGGCGGGAGAGGCAAGCGGUACUCGAUGGGUAGGGGUAAAAUCCGUUGAUCCAUUGAAGACCGCCAGUGGCGAAGGCGGCUUGCCAGAACGCGCUCGGACGGUGAGGGAUGAAAGCUGGGGGAGCAAACCGGGAUUAGAUACCCC
Molecule: ribosomal RNA, 270 nt
Filed under: uncultured bacterium
Lineage: Bacteria
Description: partial 16S ribosomal RNA
Rfam family: Archaeal small subunit ribosomal RNA
Source: RNAcentral